RNAcentral lists this ribosomal RNA (427 nucleotides) under uncultured Acidobacterium sp. RNAcentral's name for it is "bacterial SSU rRNA". It matches the Rfam family "Bacterial small subunit ribosomal RNA", at positions 958 to 1385 of the family's 1533-position model. Lineage: Bacteria; Pseudomonadati; Acidobacteriota; Terriglobia; Terriglobales; Acidobacteriaceae. The record is from RNAcentral.
AACGCGAAGAACCUUACCUGGGCUCGAAAUGCUGUGGACCAGCUUAUGAAAGUAGGCCUUCCCGCAAGGGACCGCAGUAUAGGUGCUGCAUGGCUGUCGUCAGCUCGUGUCGUGAGAUGUUGGGUUAAGUCCCGCAACGAGCGCAACCCUUGUCCUGUGUUGCCAUACCGAAAGGUGGAACUCGCAGGAGACCGCCAGGGAUAACCUGGAGGAAGGUGGGGAUGACGUCAAGUCCUCAUGGCCUUUAUGUCCAGGGCUACACACGUGCUACAAUGGACGGUACAAAGGGCUGCCAACCCGCGAGGGGGAGCCAAUCCCAAAAACCGUUCUCAGUUCGGAUUGCAGGCUGCAACUCGCCUGCAUGAAGCUGGAAUCGCUAGUAAUGGCGGAUCAGAACGCCGCCGUGAAUACGUUCCCGGGCCUUGUA